GACGAACGCUGGCGGCGUGCUUAACACAUGCCAGUCGAACGGAAAGGCCCUGCUUGCAGGGUCCUCGAGUGGCGAACGGGUGAGUAACACGUGGGUGAUCUGCCCUGCACUUCGGGUUAAGCCUGGGAAACUGGGUCUAAUACCGGAUAGGAGCCAUUUUUAGUGUGAUGGUUGGAAAGUUUUUUCGGUGUAGGAUGAGCUCGCGGCCUAUCAGCUUGUUGGUGGGGUAAUGGCCUACCAAGGCGGCGACGGGUAGCCGGCCUGAGAGGGUGGACGGCCACAUUGGGACUGAGAUACGGCCCAGACUCCUACGGGAGGCAGCAGUGGGGAAUAUUGCACAAUGGGCGCAAGCCUGAUGCAGCGACGCCGCGGGGGGGAUGACGGCCUUCGGGUUGUAAACUCCGUUCGCUAGGGACGAAGCUUUUUGUGACGGUACCUAGAUAAGAAGCACCGGCUAACUACGUG
RNAcentral lists this ribosomal RNA (465 nucleotides) under uncultured bacterium. RNAcentral describes it as "partial 16S ribosomal RNA". It matches the Rfam family "Bacterial small subunit ribosomal RNA", at positions 28 to 507 of the family's 1533-position model. The record is from RNAcentral.